Molecule: ribosomal RNA, 443 nt
Filed under: uncultured Roseovarius sp.
Lineage: Bacteria; Pseudomonadati; Pseudomonadota; Alphaproteobacteria; Rhodobacterales; Roseobacteraceae
Description: bacterial SSU rRNA
Rfam family: Bacterial small subunit ribosomal RNA
Source: RNAcentral
AACGAACGCUGGCGGCAGGCCUAACACAUGCAAGUCGAGCGCACUCUUCGGAGUGAGCGGCGGACGGGUUAGUAACGCGUGGGAAUAUACCCAGAUCUAAGGAAUAGCCACUGGAAACGGUGAGUAAUACCUUAUACGCCCUUCGGGGGAAAGAUUUAUCGGAUUUGGAUUAGCCCGCGUUAGAUUAGAUAGUUGGUGGGGUAAUGGCCUACCAAGUCUACGAUCUAUAGCUGGUUUUAGAGGAUGAUCAGCAACACUGGGACUGAGACACGGCCCAGACUCCUACGGGAGGCAGCAGUGGGGAAUCUUGGACAAUGGGCGCAAGCCUGAUCCAGCCAUGCCGCGUGAGUGAUGAAGGCCUUAGGGUCGUAAAGCUCUUUCGCCAGGGAUGAUAAUGACAGUACCUGGUAAAGAAACCCCGGCUAACUCCGUGCCAGCCGCCG